GCAAUGCCGCGUGCAGGAUGAAGGCCUUCGGGUUGUAAACUGCUUUUGUACGGAACGAAACGGUGAGCUCUAAUACAGCUUGCUAAUGACGGUACCGUAAGAAUAAGCACCGGCUAACUACGUGCCAGCAGCCGCGGUAAUACGUAGGGUGCGAGCGUUAAUCGGAAUUACUGGGCGUAAAGCGUGCGCAGGCGGUGAUGUAAGACAGAUGUGAAAUCCCCGGGCUCAACCUGGGACCUGCAUUUGUGACUGCAUCGCUAGAGUACGGUAGAGGGGGAUGGAAUUCCGCGUGUAGCAGUGAAAUGCGUAGAUAUGCGGAGGAACACCGAUGGCGAAGGCAAUCCCCUGGACCUGUACUGACGCUCAUGCACGAAAGCGUGGGGAGCAAACAGGAUUAGAUACCCUGGUAGUCCACGCCCUAAACGAUGUCAACUGGUUGUUGGGUCUUCACUGACUCAGUAACGAAGCU
RNAcentral lists this ribosomal RNA (469 nucleotides) under Comamonadaceae bacterium. Its description in RNAcentral is "bacterial SSU rRNA". It matches the Rfam family "Bacterial small subunit ribosomal RNA", at positions 391 to 853 of the family's 1533-position model. Lineage: Bacteria; Pseudomonadati; Pseudomonadota; Betaproteobacteria; Burkholderiales; Comamonadaceae. The record is from RNAcentral.